This 76-nucleotide transfer RNA is filed under the name Candidatus Dormiibacterota bacterium. Its description in RNAcentral is "tRNA-Met". It matches the Rfam family "tRNA". From Rfam's summary of the family: Transfer RNA (tRNA) molecules are approximately 80 nucleotides in length. Their secondary structure includes four short double-helical elements and three loops (D, anti-codon, and T loops). Lineage: Bacteria; Bacillati; Candidatus Dormiibacterota. The record is from RNAcentral.
GGCGGCAUAGCUCAGUUGGUAGAGCACCCGGCUCAUACCCGGUAUGUCCCUGGUUCGAACCCAGGUGCCGCCACCA